This 416-nucleotide ribosomal RNA is filed under the name uncultured eukaryote. RNAcentral describes it as "SSU rRNA". It matches the Rfam family "Eukaryotic small subunit ribosomal RNA", at positions 567 to 990 of the family's 1831-position model. The record is from RNAcentral.
CCAGCAGCUGCGGUAAUUCCGGCUCCAAUAGCGUAUAUUUAAGUUGUUGCAGUUAAAAAGCUCGUAGUUGGAUUUCGGGUGGGUUCUAGCGGUCCGCCUCUGGUGUGUACUGCUAUGGCUCACCUUUCUGUCGGGGACCAGCUCUUGGGCUUCACUGUCCGGGACUGGGAAUCGGCGAGGUCACCGUGAGUAACUCGUAGUGUUCAAAGCAAGCAUUCGCUCUGAGCGCAUUAGCAUGGAAUGACAAUAUAGGACUCUGGCCUAUCUUGUUGGUCUGUAGGACUGGAGUAAUGAUUAAGAGGGACAGUCGGGGGCAUUCGUAUUUCAUUGUCAGAGGUGAAAUUAUUGGAUUUAUGAAAGAAGAACUACUGCGAAAGCAUUUGCCAAGGAUGUUUUCAUUAAUCAAGAACGAAAGU